Molecule: small nuclear RNA, 152 nt
Filed under: Prunus persica (peach)
Lineage: Eukaryota; Viridiplantae; Streptophyta; Magnoliopsida; Rosales; Rosaceae
Description: snRNA U2
Rfam family: U2 spliceosomal RNA
About the family: U2 is a small nuclear RNA (snRNA) component of the spliceosome (involved in pre-mRNA splicing). Complementary binding between U2 snRNA (in an area lying towards the 5' end but 3' to hairpin I) and the branchpoint sequence (BPS) of the intron results the bulging out of an unpaired adenosine, on the BPS, which initiates a nucleophilic attack at the intronic 5' splice site, thus starting the first of two transesterification reactions that mediate splicing.
Source: Rfam by way of RNAcentral
AUACCUUUCUUGGUCUUUUGGCUAAAAUGAAGCGUAAUAUCUGUUCUUAUCAAUAUAAUAUUUGAUAUGUGGGCCACGGCCCACUUGAUAUUAUAUUUUUAGAUGGGGAGGCCCACAGUAUUGCAUUACUGCAUGGCCUUGGCACACCCCAA